Molecule: ribosomal RNA, 1440 nt
Filed under: Staphylococcus aureus
Lineage: Bacteria; Bacillati; Bacillota; Bacilli; Caryophanales; Staphylococcaceae
Description: partial 23S ribosomal RNA
Rfam family: Bacterial large subunit ribosomal RNA
Source: RNAcentral
GGCGAAGCGUGCGAUUGGAUUGCACGUCUAAGCAGUAAGGCUGGGUAUUAGGCAAAUCCGGUACUCGUUAAGGCUGAGCUGUGAUGGGGAGAAGACAUUGUGUCUUCGAGUCGUUGAUUUCACACUGCCGAGAAAAGCCUCUAGAUAGAAAAUAGGUGCCCGUACCGCAAACCGACACAGGUAGUCAAGAUGAGAAUUCUAAGGUGAGCGAGCGAACUCUCGUUAAGGAACUCGGCAAAAUGACCCCGUAACUUCGGGAGAAGGGGUGCUCUUUAGGGUUAACGCCCAGAAGAGCCGCAGUGAAUAGGCCCAAGCGACUGUUUAUCAAAAACACAGGUCUCUGCUAAACCGUAAGGUGAUGUAUAGGGGCUGACGCCUGCCCGGUGCUGGAAGGUUAAGAGGAGUGGUUAGCUUCUGCGAAGCUACGAAUCGAAGCCCCAGUAAACGGCGGCCGUAACUAUAACGGUCCUAAGGUAGCGAAAUUCCUUGUCGGGUAAGUUCCGACCCGCACGAAAGGCGUAACGAUUUGGGCACUGUCUCAACGAGAGACUCGGUGAAAUCAUAGUACCUGUGAAGAUGCAGGUUACCCGCGACAGGACGGAAAGACCCCGUGGAGCUUUACUGUAGCCUGAUAUUGAAAUUCGGCACAGCUUGUACAGGAUAGGUAGGAGCCUUUGAAACGUGAGCGCUAGCUUACGUGGAGGCGCUGGUGGGAUACUACCCUAGCUGUGUUGGCUUUCUAACCCGCACCACUUAUCGUGGUGGGAGACAGUGUCAGGCGGGCAGUUUGACUGGGGCGGUCGCCUCCUAAAAGGUAACGGAGGCGCUCAAAGGUUCCCUCAGAAUGGUUGGAAAUCAUUCAUAGAGUGUAAAGGCAUAAGGGAGCUUGACUGCGAGACCUACAAGUCGAGCAGGGUCGAAAGACGGACUUAGUGAUCCGGUGGUUCCGCAUGGAAGGGCCAUCGCUCAACGGAUAAAAGCUACCCCGGGGAUAACAGGCUUAUCUCCCCCAAGAGUUCACAUCGACGGGGAGGUUUGGCACCUCGAUGUCGGCUCAUCGCAUCCUGGGGCUGUAGUCGGUCCCAAGGGUUGGGCUGUUCGCCCAUUAAAGCGGUACGCGAGCUGGGUUCAGAACGUCGUGAGACAGUUCGGUCCCUAUCCGUCGUGGGCGUAGGAAAUUUGAGAGGAGCUGUCCUUAGUACGAGAGGACCGGGAUGGACAUACCUCUGGUGUACCAGUUGUCGUGCCAACGGCAUAGCUGGGUAGCUAUGUGUGGACGGGAUAAGUGCUGAAAGCAUCUAAGCAUGAAGCCCCCCUCAAGAUGAGAUUUCCCAACUUCGGUUAUAAGAUCCCUCAAAGAUGAUGAGGUUAAUAGGUUCGAGGUGGAAGCAUGGUGACAUGUGGAGCUGACGAAUACUAAUCGAUCGAAGACUUAAUCAA